RNAcentral lists this ribosomal RNA (278 nucleotides) under uncultured bacterium. RNAcentral describes it as "partial 16S ribosomal RNA". It matches the Rfam family "Bacterial small subunit ribosomal RNA", at positions 333 to 607 of the family's 1533-position model. The record is from RNAcentral.
GCACUCCUACGGGACGCAGCAGUGAGGAAUAUUGGUCAAUGGGCGCGAGCCUGAACCAGCCAAGUCGCGUGAGGGAUGACGGUCCUACGGAUUGUAAACCUCUUUUGCCGGGGAGCAAGCGUGCGUUCGUGAACGCGCGUCGAGAGUACCCGGAGAAAAAGCAUCGGCUAACUCCGUGCCAGCAGCCGCGGUAAUACGGAGGAUGCGAGCGUUAUCCGGAUUUAUUGGGUUUAAAGGGUGCGUAGGCGGGAUGCCAAGUCAGGGGUAAAAAUGCGGGG